Molecule: ribosomal RNA, 468 nt
Filed under: uncultured bacterium
Lineage: Bacteria
Description: partial 16S ribosomal RNA
Rfam family: Bacterial small subunit ribosomal RNA
Source: RNAcentral
GACGAACGCUGGCGGCGUGCUUAACACAUGCAAGUCGAACGGAAAGGCCCUGCUUUUGUGGGGUGCCCGAGUGGCGAACGGGUGAGUAACACGUGAGUAAACUGCCCUUGACUUUGGGAUAACUUCAGGAAAAUGGGGCCAAUAACGGGUAGGAGCUCCUGCUGCAUGGUGGGGGUUGGAAAGUUUCGGCGGUUGGGGAUGGACUAGCGGGUUGGCAGCUUGCUGGUGGGGUAGUGGCUUACCAAGGCUUUGAUGGGUAGGCGGCCUGAGAGGGUGACCGGCCACAGUGGAACUGAGAUACGGCCCAGACUCCUACGGGAGGCAGCAGUGGGGAAUAUGGCAGAAUGGGCGGAAGCCUGAUGCAGCAACGCCGCGUGCGGGAGGACGGCCUUCGGGUUGUAAACCGCUUUCGCCUGUGACGAAGCGUGAGUGACGGUAAUGGGUAAAGAAGCACCGGCUAACUACGUG